Molecule: ribosomal RNA, 307 nt
Filed under: uncultured eukaryote
Lineage: Eukaryota
Description: partial 18S ribosomal RNA
Rfam family: Eukaryotic small subunit ribosomal RNA
Source: RNAcentral
CCCUUAGACGUUCUGGGCCGCACGCGCACUACACUGACGAAGGCAACGAGCUUUCCUUUACCGAAAGGUACGGGUAAUCUUUUGAAACUUCGUCGUGCUGGGGAUAGAUCCUUGCAAUUUUUGAUCUUAAACGAGGAAUGCCUAGUAAGCGCAAGUCAUCAACUUGCGUUGAUUACGUCCCUGCCCUUUGUACACACCGCCCGUCGCUACUACCGAUUGAAUGGUUUAGUGAGGCCUUCGGAUCCGCGACUCGUUUGUGGAGAAGUUGGACAAACUCAGUCAUUUAGAGGAAGUAAAAGUCGUAACA